Molecule: ribosomal RNA, 520 nt
Filed under: Acetabularia caliculus
Lineage: Eukaryota; Viridiplantae; Chlorophyta; Ulvophyceae; Dasycladales; Polyphysaceae
Description: bacterial SSU rRNA
Rfam family: Eukaryotic small subunit ribosomal RNA (bases 1-385)
Source: RNAcentral
CUAAUACAUGCGUAAAUCCCGACUUUUGAAGGGACGUACUUAUUAGUUUUAAGAUCGACACCUCUUUGGUGAUCCAUGAUAUUUACACGGAUCGCACGGUUUUAUGCCGGCGACGUUUCAUUCGAAUUUCUGCCCUAUCAAUUUACGAUGGUACGAUAGUGGCGUACCAUGAUUUUUACGGGUAACGGAGGAUUAGGGUUUGAUUCCGGAGAGGUAGCCUGAGAAACGGCUACCACAUCCAAGGAAGGCAGCAGGCGCGAAAAUUACCCAAUGCAGACGCUGUGAGGUAGUGACAAUUUUUUAAUUAUGCUGGGCUUUAUAAGUUUGGUAAUUGGAAUGAGAACAUUUUAAACAUCUUACCCUCUUUGGUGAUCCAUGAUAUUUACACGGAUCGCACGGUUUUAUGCCGGCGACGUUUCAUUCGAAUUUCUGCCCUAUCAAUUUACGAUGGUACGAUAGUGUCGGUAGGAAAAUUUUUACGGGUAACGGAGGAUUAGGGUUUGAUUCCGGAGAGGUAGCC